This 439-nucleotide ribosomal RNA is filed under the name uncultured bacterium. RNAcentral describes it as "partial 16S ribosomal RNA". It matches the Rfam family "Bacterial small subunit ribosomal RNA", at positions 339 to 795 of the family's 1533-position model. The record is from RNAcentral.
CUACGGGGCGCACCAGUGGGGAAUUUUGCGCAAUGGGCGAAAGCCUGACGCAGCAAUACCGCGUGAGUGAAGAGGGCCUUUGGGUCGUAAAGCUCUUUUCUGGGGGAAGAUAGUGACGGUACCCCAGGAAUAAGCACCGGCUAACUCCGUGCCAGCAGCCGCGGUAAUACGGAGGGUGCAAGCGUUGUUCGGAUUUACUGGGCGUAAAGGGCACGUAGGCGGCACAGCAAGUUAAGGGUGAAAUCCCGGGGCUCAACUCCGGAACUGCUCUUAAAACUGCUGAGCUAGAGAUAGUCAGAGGCGGGUGGAAUUCCUGGUGUAGAGGUGAAAUUCGUAGAUAUCAGGAGGAACACCGGUGGCGAAGGCGGCCCGCUGGGGCUAUUCUGACGCUAAGGUGCGAAAGCGUGGGGAGCGAACGGGAUUAGAUACCCUAGUAGUC